Molecule: long non-coding RNA, 2301 nt
Organism: Oncorhynchus tshawytscha (Chinook salmon)
Lineage: Eukaryota; Metazoa; Chordata; Actinopteri; Salmoniformes; Salmonidae
Source: Ensembl
GUCUCUUUCUUAUGUCUGGUCUUCACAAGAUAAGGUCACGGGUUGUUUUAUACGAGUAUCUUUCAUUUAUUUGCACCGUAAACUCAGUCCUUUGUCUGGACAAUUGUUCCUUUAUGAUCUAGUCAGGUCAUUACAACAGUAAAAUGCUCUAAACACACUUUGCUGUCCUGUUUUCCAAUCGUCCACAUGGCUGGGAGAACCUAUUCAAAGAGCUGUGAAAUCCUGUCUACUCAAAGGGGUGCACGUUUUUGCACUGCACAGCUGACACAAAUGAUCAACUCAUCAAGCUUCAAGUGGUAAUUAUGUAUUAAUUUGUGAUGCUGUCCUUGAUAUAGGCGGCAGGAUAGCCUAGUGGUUAGAGUGUAGAGGAGGUAGGUAGCCUAGUGGUUAGAGUGUAGAGGAGGCAGGUAGUCUAGUGGUUAGAGUGUAGAGGAGGCAGGUAGUCUAGUGGUUAGAGUGUAGAGGAGGCAGGUAGCCUAGUGGUUAGAGUGUAGAGGAGGCAGGUAGCCUAGUGGUUAGAGUGUAGAGGAGGCAGGUAGUCUAGUGGUUAGAGUGUAGAGGAGGCAGGUAGCCUAGUGGUUAGAGUGUAGAGGAGGCAGGUAGCCUAGUGGUUAGAGUGUAGAGGAGGCAGGUAGCCUAGUGGUUAGAGUGUAGAGGAGGCAGGUAGCCUAGUGGUUAGAGUGUAGAGGAGGCAGGUAGCCUAGUGGUUAGAGUGUAGAGGAGGCAGGUAGCCUAGUGGUUAGAGUGUAGGGGCGGCAGGUAGCCUAGUGGUUAGAGUUUUGGACUCGUAUCCGAAAGGUUGUAAGAUUGAAUCCCUGAACUGACAAGGUAAAAAUCUGUCGUUCUGCACCUGAACAAGGCAGUUAACCCACUGUUCCUAGGCCGUCAUUGAAAAUAAGAAUUUGUUCUUAACUAGUCAAAUAAAAAUAGGAUCCUGCUAUUUACACAUGCAUCUAUCAAUCCAAUGUUAUCAUGAUUUGUUAUAAGGGAUAUUAUACUUUAGUAAGCCACAAUGACCUGGUGAUAUAAUGUCAAUAUUAGACUUAAAUUCCAUAUUCCUACGGAUACCUUGUAACUGGAGAUUCCUUCAAACCGAUUGCCUACAGUUAACAUGUAGGGCACUGCAAGGUUGGGUGACCAGGGCCAUCUGGGACUGCCUCCUGGAGGAAUUCAGGUGUGUGAAGGCUACCUGUGUCCUGCAUAACGUCAUGAGGAUGGACACGAGGACCAGGAGGAGGGGGGGGGUAUGUGUGCUGGAUUUCUUCACCACAUACUUUUUUGAGGAGGGUGCUGUUCCCUGGCAACACUGUAGACUACACUAUGCACAACCAAAGGCUCUUUUAAGAACCAUUCACAUUGCAGUAAGAGUAUUCUUCCAUUUACUUCGCUAUGUCAACUGCAGUUAUAUCAGUUUGAUCUCCAUCUCUUCAUUCAAAGACUCAAUCAUGGACACUCUUACUGAGUUGUUGCUGCUUUAUGUGAUGUAUUGUUGUCUUUACCUCCUUGACCUUUUGUGCUGUUUGUGCCCAAUAAUGUUUGUACCCUGUGCUCUUGUCAUAUUGUUACUACCAUGUUGUCAUGUUGAGUUGCUACCAUGUUGUCAUGUUGAGUUGCUACCAUGUUGUCAUGUUGAGUUGCUGCCAUGUUGUCAUGUUGAGUUGCUGCCAUGUUGUCAUGUUGAGUUGCUGCCAUGUUGUCAUGUUGUUACUAGCCAGUGUUGUCAUGUUGAGUUGCUACCAUGUUGUCAUGUUGAGUUGCUACCAUGUUGUCAUGUUGUUACUACCAUGUUGUCAUGGUUGAUUGCUGCCAUGUUGUCAUGUUGAGUUGCUGCCAUGUUGUCAUGUUGAGUUGCUACCAUGUUGUCAUGUUGAGUUGCUGCCAUGUUGUCAUGUUGUUACUACCAUGUUGUCAUGUUGAGUUGCUGCCAUGUUGUCAUGUUGAGUUGCUGCCAUGUUGUCAUGUUGUUGCUACCAUGUUGUCAUGUUGUCUCUCUUCAUGAUGUGUGUGUUUUGUCCUAUUUUUAUUUAAUUAAUUUUAAUCCCGCCCCCGCAGGAGACCUUUUGCCUCUUGGUAGUGUUGUGGUGUCUCUCUACCAGGAGGCCUCUUGGUAGUGUUGUGGUGUCUCUCUACAGGAGGCCUCUUGCUAGUGUUGUGGUGUCUCUCUACAGGAGGCCUCUUGGUAGUGUUGUGGUGUCUCUCUACAGGAGGCCUUUUGCCUCUUGGUAGGCCGUCAUCAUAAAUAAUAAUUUGUUAACUGACUUGGCUAGUUAAAUAAAAUAUAAAAUUCCCAGUUUCUCUCUU